Molecule: ribosomal RNA, 254 nt
Filed under: uncultured bacterium
Lineage: Bacteria
Description: partial 16S ribosomal RNA
Rfam family: Bacterial small subunit ribosomal RNA
Source: RNAcentral
UACGUAGGGCGCAAGCGUUAUCCGGAAUUAUUGGGCGUAAAGAGCUCGUAGGCGGUUUGUCGCGUCUGCCGUGAAAGUCCGGGGCUCAACUCCGGAUCUGCGGUGGGUACGGGGCAGACUAGAGUGCGGUAGGGGAGAUUGGAAUUCCUGGUGUAGCGGUGGAAUGCGCAGAUAUCAGGAGGAACACCGAUGGCGAAGGCAGAUCUCUGGGCCGUUACUGACGCUGAGGAGCGAAAGCGUGGGGAGCGAACAGG